This is a non-coding RNA of Xyrichtys novacula (pearly razorfish), 121 nucleotides long. The record is from the annotation of a GenBank genome assembly. NCBI's taxonomy places the organism in Eukaryota, Metazoa, Chordata, Actinopteri, Labriformes, Labridae.
UCAAUUUAUAUGCUAUAUGUCCAGUAGGUGGCUCUGCCUGUGUGUUAAUAUUAGGCAUAUGUGUGUGAACAUUGUGUUCACACACAAGUAGAGUCACCUACUGGAUAAAACAUGUAAUUGA